This is a non-coding RNA of Pelecanus crispus (Dalmatian pelican), 103 nucleotides long. Lineage: Eukaryota; Metazoa; Chordata; Aves; Pelecaniformes; Pelecanidae. The record is from Rfam.
GCACUUUGGCAGCACAUAUACUAAAACUGGAAGAGUACAGAGGAUAUUAGCAUGGCUGCUGUGCAAGGAUAACACACAAUUAAUGAAGCAAUGCAUGGAACAU